UAAGCAACGAAGAAUAAUGGCUUCAAAGAAGUGUUCCCUUAUUUUGGUAUUUCUUUUUUUUUUGUAUGUUGAGUUUUUCAUCCAUGGCAUUAGCAAGAAACAUUGCAGCUGAUGCAUCUAAACCUCAUACAUAUGAAAAGGGUCUGAAUGAAAGAGUACUCCUUGUCAAAAAACGACCUCGUCCAUGUACCGCGGGCGAUGGAGAGGAAAGAGACAGUGCACGUUGCCACAAUUUUUAGAAAAAAUAUAUAAAUGUUUUUUUUUUUAUUAUUUAUACUUGAUCGUGAAAAUUCAAAUAAUAAAAUUCUGUAAUUUUUUUAAUUGUAAAUUUUGUUUGUAAGAAUAAUUUGAAGGCAUACAAUGUAGACUGUAGAGACUGUUUAUGAAGCCUUACAAUGUAGAGAUUGUUUCUUUAUUUCCA
Trifolium pratense (red clover) is the source of this 421-nucleotide long non-coding RNA. RefSeq lists it as uncharacterized. The transcript has 2 exons. The record is from RefSeq and is a predicted model, not a curated record. Lineage: Eukaryota; Viridiplantae; Streptophyta; Magnoliopsida; Fabales; Fabaceae.